UUGAGAAGACUAUACAAUAUCU
This 22-nucleotide small RNA is filed under the name Arabidopsis thaliana (thale cress). RNAcentral describes it as "ATSL249890". The record is from RNAcentral. Lineage: Eukaryota; Viridiplantae; Streptophyta; Magnoliopsida; Brassicales; Brassicaceae.